CGCAUCUGUGCAUGCAGCAUAUCAAUAAGCGGAGGAAAAGAAACUAACAAGGAUUCCCCUAGUAACGGCGAGUGAAGCGGGAAGAGCUCAAAUUUGAAAUCUUAAAGGGUUUCCCUUUACGAAUUGUAGUUUAGAGAAGUGUUUUCUGUUGAGGUUUUGGUAAAAGUUCUUUGGAAUAGGACAUCAUAGAGGGUGAGGAAUCCCGUAUUUGACCAUUACUUUCAACUUUGUGAUACACUUUCAAAGAGUCGGAUUGUUUGGGAAUGCAGUCCAAAAUGGGUGGUAAAUUUCAUCUAAAGCUAAAUAUUGGCGAGAGACCGAUAGCGAACAAGUACCGUGAGGGAAAGAUGAAAAGAACUUUGAAAAGAGAGUUAAACAGUACGUGAAAUUGUCAAAAGGGAAGCGUUCGACACCAGUGUUGUUUUUCUGAAAAUCAAUUAAAGAACUGUUUAUGCUAAGUUGUUUAGACUUUAUCAGCUAACUGUUUAGUUUUGAGCUUUCUUUAAUGCACUUUUCAGUUAACAAGUCAACAUCAAUUUCUUUUGCUGUAAAAAAGCUUGAGGAAGGUGGCUUGAGAUUCGUCUUAAGUGUUUAUAGCCUCUUGCCUAUGCAGUCGGAGAGAUUGAGGUCUGCAGCGUAGACUCUUCGGGGUUAGAUACAUUUGUGCUAAGUUAUAGCUUUUUAUAGACAACUUGUUGACUAUAAUUAGUCUUGUAGCUUACUCGCUUAUGUUAUUUUACCUACGCUUAGGAUGUUGAGAUUAGCAUCACACGCAGUGUACCACUGCAUAUCAAUAAGCGGAGGAAAAGGGGCAGUGGCUUGACCAUAUCUCGGGAAAGAAGUCAUGGUCGUACCUACGCUUAGGAUGUUGAAGAUGUAGCACAUCAU
This 888-nucleotide ribosomal RNA is filed under the name uncultured Neocallimastigales. Its description in RNAcentral is "partial large subunit ribosomal RNA". It matches the Rfam family "Eukaryotic large subunit ribosomal RNA", at positions 26 to 634 of the family's 3401-position model. The record is from RNAcentral. Lineage: Eukaryota; Fungi; Neocallimastigomycota; Neocallimastigomycetes; Neocallimastigales.